GAUGAGCGCUAGCUACAGGCUUAACACAUGCAAGUCGAGGGGUAACGAGAGGAAAGCUUGCUUUCCUUGUCGACGACCGGCGCACGGGUGAGUAACGCGUAUCCAACCUGCCCCCAACUAGGGAAUAACCUUGCGAAAGUAAGACUAAUACCCUAUAAUUUCCUCAGAUGUCAUCUGACGAGGAAUAAAGAUUUAUCGGUUGUGGAUGGGGAUGCGUCUGAUUAGCUUGUUGGCGGGGGAACGGCCCACCAAGGCAACGAUCAGUAGGGGUUCUGAGAGGAAGGUCCCCCACAUUGGAACGUAGACACGGUCCAAACACCUACGGGAGGCAGCAGUGAGGAAUAUUGGUCAAUGGGCGGAAGCCUGAACCAGCCAAGUAGCGUGCAGGAUGACGGCCCUAUGGGUUGUAAACUGCUUUUAUACAGGAAUAAAGUUAGCCACGUGUGGUUAUUUGUAGGUACUGUAUGAAUAAGGACCGGCUAAUUCCGUGCCAGCCGCCGCGGUAA
RNAcentral lists this ribosomal RNA (506 nucleotides) under uncultured bacterium. RNAcentral describes it as "partial 16S ribosomal RNA". It matches the Rfam family "Bacterial small subunit ribosomal RNA", at positions 28 to 523 of the family's 1533-position model. The record is from RNAcentral.